UACGUAGGGUGCGAGCGUUGUCCGGAAUUAUUGGGCGUAAAGGGCUCGUAGGCGGUUUGUCGCGUCGGGAGUGAAAACCUUGGGCUUAACUCAGGGCUUGCUUUCGAUACGGGCAGACUAGAGGUAUGCAGGGGAGAACGGAAUUCCUGGUGUAGCGGUGAAAUGCGCAGAUAUCAGGAGGAACACCGGUGGCGAAGGCGGUUCUCUGGGCCGAUACUGACGCUGAGGAGCGAAAGCAUGGGUAGCGAACAGG
RNAcentral lists this ribosomal RNA (253 nucleotides) under uncultured bacterium. RNAcentral's name for it is "partial 16S ribosomal RNA". It matches the Rfam family "Bacterial small subunit ribosomal RNA", at positions 524 to 776 of the family's 1533-position model. The record is from RNAcentral.